AUUGAACGCUGGCGGCAUGCCUUACACAUGCAAGUCGAACGGCAGCACGGGAGCAAUCCUGGUGGCGAGUGGCGAACGGGUGAGUAAAGUAUCGGAACGUGCCCAGUCGUGGGGGAUCACGUAGCGAAAGUUACGCUAAUACCGCAUACGAUCUACGGAUGAAAGCGGGGGAUCGCAAGACCUCGCGCGAUUGGAGCGGCUGAUAUCAGAUUAGGUAGUUGGUGGGGUAAAGGCUCACCAAGCCGACGAUCUGUAGCUGGUCUGAGAGGACGACCAGCCACACUGGGACUGAGACACGGCCCAGACUCCUACGGGAGGCAGCAGUGGGGAAUUUUGGACAAUGGGCGAAAGCCUGAUCCAGCAAUGCCGCGUGCAGGAUGAAGGCCUUCGGGUUGUAAACUGCUUUUGUACGGAACGAAAAGCCCCGGGUUAAUACCCUGGGGUCAUGACGGUACCGUAAGAAUAAGCACCGGCUAACUACGUGCCAGCAGCCGCGGUAA
RNAcentral lists this ribosomal RNA (500 nucleotides) under uncultured bacterium. Its description in RNAcentral is "partial 16S ribosomal RNA". It matches the Rfam family "Bacterial small subunit ribosomal RNA", at positions 30 to 523 of the family's 1533-position model. The record is from RNAcentral.